Molecule: ribosomal RNA, 540 nt
Filed under: uncultured Wilcoxina
Lineage: Eukaryota; Fungi; Ascomycota; Pezizomycetes; Pezizales; Pyronemataceae
Description: eukaryotic LSU rRNA
Source: RNAcentral
UUCUGUGUAUCGACUAAAUAUACCCAUUCUGAGUACCUUGCCUGUUGCUUCCAUGGAGCCUGACACAUGUCACUCUGGGGAUUUACAUCCCGAGGGAGCCUCCGUGGAAGGUAAUCAAUUAACUCUUGAAUCCMAUGUCAUCUGUCUGAUAAUGUUUAUAACAAAUGUUAAAACUUUCAACAACGGAUCUCUUGGUUCUCGCAUCGAUGAAGAACGCAGCGAAAUGCGAUAAGUAGUGUGAAUUGCAGAAUUCAGUGAAUCAUCGAAUCUUUGAACGCACAUUGCGCCUCCUGGUAUUCCGGGAGGCAUGCCUGUUCGAGCGUCAUUAAAUACCACUCAAGCUCUUCUGCUUGGUCAUGGAAGAAGAGAAUGCUUGCAUCCUCUCUUCUGAAAUCGAACGGCGGACUGCCUCAUGUGCCUCGCGUAGUAAGUUCAUCUUUUCGCUUGGAGUGUGAGAUAGUCUCGCCAUCAACCCCCAUACUUCWAAGGUUGACCUCGGAUCAGGUAGGGAUACCCGCUGAACUUAAGCAUAUCAAUAAG